RNAcentral lists this ribosomal RNA (497 nucleotides) under uncultured bacterium. RNAcentral describes it as "partial 16S ribosomal RNA". It matches the Rfam family "Bacterial small subunit ribosomal RNA", at positions 28 to 507 of the family's 1533-position model. The record is from RNAcentral.
GACGAACGCUGGCGGCGUGCCUAAUACAUGCAAGUCGAACGAACAGACCAUGCUCUUGCUCCUUUCUCGUUUGCGGCGCACGUGUGUGUAACACGUGGAUCACCCACUUAUAAUACGGGUAUCUUCUCGGGACUCCGGCUCAAAUCCCGUAUAAUCUAUUGCACCGUAUGGUUCAAUGGUGAAAGACGGCUUUGCUGUCUCUUAUAGAUGCAUCCGCGCCGCAUUAGCUAGUUGUUGCGGUAACGGCUUACCAAGGCGACGAUGCGUAGCCGAACUGAGAGGGUGAUCGGCGACACUGGAACUGAGACACGGUCCAGACUCCUAAGGGAGGCAGCAGUAGGGAAUCUUCCGCAAUGGGCGAAAGCCUGACGGAGCAACGCCGCGUGAGUGAUGGAGGUCUUCGGAUCGUAAAACUCGGUUAUUAGGGAAAAACAAAUGUGGAAGUAACUAUGCACGUCUUGACGGUACCUAAUCAGAAAGCCACGGCUAACUACGUG